This 515-nucleotide ribosomal RNA is filed under the name Escherichia coli. RNAcentral's name for it is "bacterial SSU rRNA". It matches the Rfam family "Bacterial small subunit ribosomal RNA", at positions 1 to 505 of the family's 1533-position model. Lineage: Bacteria; Pseudomonadati; Pseudomonadota; Gammaproteobacteria; Enterobacterales; Enterobacteriaceae. The record is from RNAcentral.
AAAUUGAAGAGUUUGAUCAUGGCUCAGAUUGAACGCUGGCGGCAGGCCUAACACAUGCAAGUCGAACGGUAACAGGAAGAAGCUUGCUUCUUUGCUGACGAGUGGCGGACGGGUGAGUAAUGUCUGGGAAACUGCCUGAUGGAGGGGGAUAACUACUGGAAACGGUAGCUAAUACCGCAUAACGUCGCAAGACCAAAGAGGGGGACCUUCGGGCCUCUUGCCAUCGGAUGUGCCCAGAUGGGAUUAGCUAGUAGGUGGGGUAACGGCUCACCUAGGCGACGAUCCCUAGCUGGUCUGAGAGGAUGACCAGCCACACUGGAACUGAGACACGGUCCAGACUCCUACGGGAGGCAGCAGUGGGGAAUAUUGCACAAUGGGCGCAAGCCUGAUGCAGCCAUGCCGCGUGUAUGAAGAAGGCCUUCGGGUUGUAAAGUACUUUCAGCGGGGAGGAAGGGAGUAAAGUUAAUACCUUUGCUCAUUGACGUUACCCGCAGAAGAAGCACCGGCUAACUCCG